GCAGGGCGUGGUGGUGUCUCCUGUAGUCCCAGCUACUGGGGAGGCUGAGGCAGAAGGAUCACUUGAGCCCAGCAUUUCUUGGCAAGCCUGGGCAACAGAGUGAGGCCCUGUCUCAG
Molecule: small RNA, 116 nt
Filed under: Marmota monax (woodchuck)
Lineage: Eukaryota; Metazoa; Chordata; Mammalia; Rodentia; Sciuridae
Source: RNAcentral